Tympanuchus pallidicinctus (lesser prairie-chicken) is the source of this 2094-nucleotide long non-coding RNA. RefSeq lists it as uncharacterized. The transcript has 2 exons. The record is from RefSeq and is a predicted model, not a curated record. NCBI's taxonomy places the organism in Eukaryota, Metazoa, Chordata, Aves, Galliformes, Phasianidae.
UUCAGCUGGGCUGGUUUUGAAAGCCAGUCUUCAACGAAAUUCUGUCACCUGUAAGGCCAGCAGCUUAUUAGGGUCACACAUCACCAACGAAAAGCUGAAGUUGGUGCUGGUGGAGGAGGCCUACCAGCAGUGUCCUGAGCUGUAGUGUUUUGAAUGGGAGCUGCUGCUCAGGGUGUGUUCUGCUCUGUGCUACUGAGGAGCUGGGUAAGGCUGAGAGGCAGAAGGUGGAUCUGGAUGCUGCUGGACUGGAAUGAUCUCAGACAUUUUUUUUUUUGUGAGGUAGGAGGUUCGGGAUGGGUAGGGGAUGCUUCAGGAAGGGUUGCUCCUCUCACCUUUGUUCCUCCUGCUGCUUCCUGUGGGCAUGGCAUCUUUUCCCUUUUGCUUUUUGUAUAAUGUGGUGUGUGUUGCCCAGGGUUGCUGAGGAGCUGCCAGCUGCAAUGGCCAUGUCUCACUGCAGAUAAACAGACUUUUGCUUUGGGCUUCAUUGCAAAGCUGCGAGAGCCAUCGCUUCAAGCUGUGUCCCUGAGAGCACGCCUGAGCUCCCGAAAACCAUUGCAAACUCUUGCAUCAUGCAGAAGCAGGGGAAGCCGGAGCAGCUGGGAAGUGAGAAGAUCCAUUCUGGCAGCUGUGCCACAGGGACAGGGCGUCACUCAGAGCAACAAAAGGUGUUGGCAGCAAGAAGUGCGGUGCCACGAUUUCUUCUCCCUCUCGCAGAGGCAGAAUUUCUCGCCGUGAGCCCUGCGCCAGCCAUUCAGAAGUAGCCUGAAGUCUGGCUCCAGUUGCACGCCUUUAUUAAUGACAGAAGCCCUCGAGGGGUGGGAUCCAGAGGCAUCACAGAGAUAUUUUUUUUUCCCCUUUCCUAAGCACAAAAGACAGAAGUGGAAUGCAGCUGAGGAAUGUUUCGCCCUUGGAAGGGAUGUAAUAAAUCUCGUUGGAUGUGCUAUUUGGUUUAUUUUGCGGGAGUCAUUCAAAAGGAAAAUGCAGAUUGUGGGGCUUAGUGCUCAGCCUAUGCUGGCAAAGGAUCUCCAACAAAGAAUGUUCAUUGGCAGGGAAUGUCCUGACUUUGCAAGUGAGAAAACGCCUCUUUUUCAGUUACUCUAAAAGCUGUCUUGUUAUUAUAUAAAAGGCUGCUGCAAAGCAGGCUGCGAUCGAUUGUUCGCCAGAGCCAGAUCCGCUAGGAGAAGGACAAGCAGUAAUUGCUCUAAUCUGCAGGAGAAAGGGUUUGGGCCGCGCUCAGGAAAGGCGCUUUCUUCCUAGGAAGGUCUGCUGGGUCGCAGGGGGCUGCUGGGGAGGCUGAGCAUCCUGGUCCGGAGCAGCACAGCUUUCUCUGGGUGACUUCACCUCGGGAUGGGCGGGAAGAUGGCUUCAAAGACUUCGAGCCCCUGCCAGCCCCCAGUGAUUAUUUCUGUGCGGCUGUUAUUUAACAGUGAGGUGCUCCCUUUGGGAUCUGAAGGAUUCUUCCCAUGCUGAAGAUCGCUGAAUCUAAGGAUAGGUCAGCAGGCAGAGGUGAGGGAAAAGCUGAUAGGAAGGAAUUGAUGUGCAGAUGGGCUUGAUUUACUGCAGAAAUGAGGCAAAGAGAAAGCCCAAAGGUGACUGUAAAGCUGGGCUUCCUGACAGAGAAGGGCAAGGAAGAGAUUGUCUGCAGCCUCCUGCCUCUUGGUGAACUCCUUGGAGAGGUCACAGUGGAGGCCAGGCGGAUGGCAUAAACCAUUUGGGAACCCUAAACCAGGAUUAAAGGGACGUGGUGGAAGAGAAGCAGACUGCAUGGAGCCAACCUCAGCUGUCUGCCACAGCUCCACCACGAAGGGAACCGCUUUGCUGGAAGGUGGGGGGUGGCGAGCUGAUACUUAGCCAUUGGUUGCACACGAGCUAUUUUUAAAUGGCAUAGGUUUGGUUACUGCCAGUGGCACCAAUCCAGCUUGUAAAAAUCCUGAAGCCCUUCUACCUGCCUGCCUGAAGAGCUGUGGGAUGUUCUAAGUAGGAGAGCUGCAGUAAGUGGGGUCCCAACACAGCUUGGAGUGCAGUGCAGCCCAGGAUGUGCCCUGUGAACUGCAGUCCAGUGGUGGCACUACCAGUACAGUCACAGCUGCACCA